This 253-nucleotide ribosomal RNA is filed under the name uncultured bacterium. Its description in RNAcentral is "partial 16S ribosomal RNA". It matches the Rfam family "Bacterial small subunit ribosomal RNA", at positions 524 to 776 of the family's 1533-position model. The record is from RNAcentral.
UACGUAGGGCGCAAGCGUUGUCCGGAAUUAUUGGGCGUAAAGAGCUCGUAGGUGGCGUGUCGCGUCUGCCGUGAAAGCCCAUGGCUUAACUGUGGGUCUGCGGUGGAUACGGGCAGGCUGGAGGCUGGUAGGGGCAAGCGGAAUUCCUGGUGUAGCGGUGAAAUGCGCAGAUAUCAGGAGGAACACCGGUGGCGAAGGCGGCUUGCUGGGCCAGUACUGACACUCAAGUGCGAAAGCGUGGGGAGCAAACAGG